CCUCCGAGUGCCUGCGCGCCGCAGGAAGGUGUGGGGCGAGGAACCGAGGGAGGAGGAACGACGGUCAAGCCUCAGCGACGAUCUGGCACCGUGCUGCCAAACGACUACCCAGGGACACCCGUGCCCGAGCCGUGCGUGACGCUGCUUCGCUAAGGGGACCUCACAUCCAGCACAGAGGAUCAGGAGACGGUGCCACUGGAGCCACAGCCAUUCGGGGGUCGGGAGGUGGCCGAGGGACGGAGGAACCCACAGCGUCCAGGCCCAGCUCUGCCCCUGACACAGGGGCCCCGUAGCCCAGCGUCCUGCUGCCCAGUAGGGGUACGCCAGCCUCUGCUCCAGGGGUGACCAGGGCUGAGCACUCGUCAGCUCUGAAAUCACCUCGGCCUCCAUGGGACUGGGGUGCAGACCCCGGAAGCUUGGGGUGCCCCGGGGACACACAAGGUCCAGAAGGUGCUCUUCAGAGAGGCUCUGGUUCCCCUUCUUGAAGCGAUGGGAGUUGUCUGGACCCUCUGGGGCCUCCCCCAUGGCGGACUGGACCAGGCAGAGGCCAGGCGAGCUCCAUGCCCAGGUCACAGGUGGCAGGCGGAGAGCCCAGUUGGGCCGGGCCGGCACCUUCUCCAGGCCCACAGGUUGUGCUGCAGCCCUCGUGCGGGAGUCCCACCUGUGCGCCCAGGUCACUUGGGAGCCCGGAGCCUUCGGAAUCCAGCUGUGGAGAGGCAGGAGCCAUGGGAAAUGAGGUGUUUCCAGACAUCAAGCUUCAGACCCACUGAUGAUAGGGUUCUCCAGAGAGACAGACAAACACAAUACAUAGGAAGAGAUUUAUUAUGAGGAACCAGCUCACAUGAUCGUGAGGGCUGGGAAGCCCCACGUCUACUGUCUGCAUGCUACAGAUCCACAAAAGCCUAUUUGCUCGUGGAAUCCAGUCCAAGCCUGGAGGCCUGAGAACCUGGGGAGCUGGUGGUAUAAAUCCCAGUCCAGGGGCCGGAAAUGAUGAGGUGGGCUGUCCCAGCUCAAGCAGGUGGGCAGGAAGAGAAAAGGCAGAUUCCUCCCUUCUGCAUCUUUUGUCCUAUUCAAGCCCUCAGUGAACUAGGUGAUGCCCACCCACACUGGGAAGAGCAUCUGUUGUACUGAGGCCACCAAUUCUAACCCUAUAACCUCAUCCAGAAAGAGCUCCCCCGACACACCCAGAAAUAAAAUUUAAUGUGAACACCCAUGGCCUGGUCCAGCUGAUACAUAAAACUGACCAACACACAUCCACCCCUUGCCACCUCAUCACUUGUACCCACCUCCUUAAACCGCACCUGAUCCCCAAACAAAGUCAACACGAAGAUCAUAAUUCUGCCUCACAACUGUCCUGCCUACAACCGAAAACGCACAAACCCCUUCCUCAGAGGAGGAGGUGAAGUCUCCCCCUCUCCCCAGGGCUGACGUCCCACAGCUUAAACGCUAGGGUGUAAAUUCCCAGGACUAAAUGCUGUGAUGCAAAGUCAGUACAUCUUACGUGACAUGGCAAAGGGAGAAGAGAGGAAAGAAACAAAGAUCACGCACACACACACAUGUAACCGAGCAGGACCCUAGGGGGGCUUCCCAGAACAGACCCCCCUCCAUGUCCUCUGCUUGCCUUUUGUCUGUAGAAAAACUUUAGUCAAUAAUUUUAAUCAGAGAAAUGAGAAAAUGCAGAAAGAAAACAGUCCAGCAAGACAAACUAAUAAUAGUUUAGCCAUUAAACAAAGUCAAGGACGUUUAGUUCCUCCUUCAGGGCUACAGAUCGUGUUCAGAGCCACAUCCUUGAGCUGUUUUGCAGUUACUGAAACCCCCACCAGGUGGAAGAAGUUAACUCCAUGCUGACCACCGGCACGUAGACCCCAGACUGGUGGGAACCAGAA
Delphinapterus leucas (beluga whale) is the source of this 1886-nucleotide long non-coding RNA. RefSeq lists it as uncharacterized. The record is from RefSeq and is a predicted model, not a curated record. Lineage: Eukaryota; Metazoa; Chordata; Mammalia; Artiodactyla; Monodontidae.